RNAcentral lists this small RNA (692 nucleotides) under Histoplasma ohiense. Its description in RNAcentral is "hypothetical lncRNA". Lineage: Eukaryota; Fungi; Ascomycota; Eurotiomycetes; Onygenales; Ajellomycetaceae. The record is from RNAcentral.
AGCAGUCAAUGCUGAGGAAGCGUCUAUCUCAUUCUGUAACCUUGAUUGUUGAUCAUCCUGUAGCUUUGGCGAGGCAAGCUUUAUUAUUGUCGAAGUCAAACAUCCGAGUAAUCUUGUUGACCAACACGGGUGUUCUGUGAUUGGCCGUCCUAACUAACUAACUAGUUAGUUAGUUACCUGCCAGCAUUGGGCAGGAUUACAGACAUAAAUUACCCAAAGGCGCACACAACCUUUUUCCGUGGCGACGCCCAUGCAGCUGAGAAGCUGAGAGGAAAGUUAUUAUAUAGUUAAUCUCUCGCACCUCACUUUUCGUUUGACUUGACUUCCUGAUUACGUAUCCGGGUUCAACCUUAAAACCAACUAUAACCUUGGAACGAUUGCUUAACCAGCCCGAGAUAUACAAACCCAUGAAAGUACCAACAGGAAUUUUAUUGAUAUUAUUACGUGGAACAUCAGCUUCGUAUUCACGCCUUGCAAUUUAUGAAUCGUGUGCUAGACAGAAACAUUGCAGCACUGAGGGGGUAGAGAGGGAUCUAAUCUCUUAGUCAAACGCCGGAAGUUUAGAUAUCAUUUUCGGUUGAUUUGCAUUUUUGUACUUCCAUUCAACCUCCUAUUCUCUCCCCCCGCUUCCAACAUCCCAAUAGGAAAAUGUAGAAACCAUAAAAGCUUCCGGAUAAGGUGAAAGCUCAUGU